RNAcentral lists this transfer RNA (72 nucleotides) under Heterocephalus glaber (naked mole-rat). It matches the Rfam family "tRNA". From Rfam's summary of the family: Transfer RNA (tRNA) molecules are approximately 80 nucleotides in length. Lineage: Eukaryota; Metazoa; Chordata; Mammalia; Rodentia; Bathyergidae. The record is from Rfam by way of RNAcentral.
UAUGGUAUAGCUUGGUGGCAGAGCACUUGCCUGGCAUAUGCAAGGUCCUGGGUUCUAUCCCCAGCACCAUGA